CCUAAAAUAAGUUUUGCAUCGUUCAUGUCUCAUGUUUGAUCAUUCGUCUUAUUUGAAAUUCUUUUAUGAUUAAUAUUUUUAUUGUUAUUAGAUGAUAAAACAUAAAUAGUAAUUUAUGUGUGAUUAACUUAUUUUAAUUUUCGCAUAAAUUUUUCAAAUAAGACGGACGGUCAAACGUUGGACAUGGAUUCUCACGGUGCACUUAUU
Non-coding RNA from Oryza meridionalis, 207 nucleotides. NCBI's taxonomy places the organism in Eukaryota, Viridiplantae, Streptophyta, Magnoliopsida, Poales, Poaceae. The record is from Rfam.